CUCAAACUCUUCCAUGUCCACUUCACCAUCUCCAUUCAAGUCAAACAUCUUGAAGGCGAUUUCAAAAUUCCUUUGGGGAGUGGAAAGGACUGUUGUGAGGAAAAUGUAGUCCGAAAAAGAAAUGAGUCCACAUUCCCCAAGUGCAUAAAAUAUGCUGUCUUCAUCAGCAAACUUCUCUCGCUCCUGAGACAACUUCUUCCCAUCAUAGCGUUUCACUAUAAACUGAUCCAGCCCCAGAUUUUCUGGUUGUUUUUCAUUAGGUGUUAUCGAUCUCACGAAAUCCUGCGGCGUCAUAAAAACCUCAGAUUCACCGUGUUCAUUUAUCACCUUCAAAGUGGCAAAGUAUCGGAAGAUUUUGUCUGGCGUGGAGUAGGCUCUGAUCCGGUUCUCAUAUUCCAUCACCUUACGAUCCCUGAAGCCAGAACACUUCUUCUUCUUCCCCCCUUCUGAGUGAGCCUCCUCACUGCCUGAUGCCACGGCCCUCCUGCCUUCAUCGCCACUGCUCUCCCCCUCCUCCCGGUGCUUCACCUUCUCACCCGGCUCUGCCCUUG
RNAcentral lists this long non-coding RNA (551 nucleotides) under Gallus gallus (chicken). Lineage: Eukaryota; Metazoa; Chordata; Aves; Galliformes; Phasianidae. The record is from RNAcentral.